Molecule: ribosomal RNA, 253 nt
Filed under: uncultured microorganism
Description: partial 16S ribosomal RNA
Rfam family: Bacterial small subunit ribosomal RNA
Source: RNAcentral
UACGUAGGGUGCGAGCGUUAAUCGGAUUUACUGGGCGUAAAGCGUGCGCAGGCGGUCCGUUAAGACAGGUGUGAAAUCCCUGGGCUCAACCUAGGAAUUGCGCUUGUGACUGGCGGGCUCGAGUACGGUAGAGGGGGGUGGAAUUCCUGGUGUAGCAGUGAAAUGCGUAGAGAUCAGGAGGAACACCGAUGGCGAAGGCAGCCCCCUGGGACUGUACUGACGCUCAUGCACGAAAGCGUGGGGAGCAAACAGG